UGAUUACAAAUAAUAUUUGUAACAUUGACGAAAGAGAAACAAAGAUGGAGUAGCAUAGAAUUUUUCUCAAUAAAACACCUCUGCAAAUCUCUUAUCUCUUUAUACAAUAAGAGAGUCAAGAAAAUUUGGGCGAUGAUUGGCUAAUAAAGUAUGCUAAUUUGUUAUAGGUAAUUGAUGGGUUGAUUAUUUAAUUAGAGGUUGACUUUUAUUAGUUUUUGUUAUUUGCUAUAGGGCCUAUUGAGGUGGGUUGUUGAUUUGAAGGAGCUGAAGAAGAGGGCAGUGAAGAUCUCCUCGCGCGGACCUUGUGAUGUUGAUGAAGUGAAGAGUUGACUUACGAGAGGAUGGUUUGGAUGUAGCGGUUGCAAGCCUGGAUGAAGAAUGCUUUUGUGAUGACCCUUCCUUGUCUUCUUUAUUCAGGAGAAAGCCAUGGUGAGGGUAUGGUUUCUUUGUGAUGGUUGUGACUUUUAUAUAUAAUGUUUCUCUUCUCCUUAUUUUCAAGCUAUGAUGACCGUAUGAUUUCUUUGUGAUGGUUGUGACCAUACUGAAUAUGAGACUUUGUUCUUCUGACUGAACAAGUGUGUAAGGCUCUGGUUUCGAGAGAUUAAAUAUUGAUGGGUUUAUGCUGAGUUCUGGGUUACAAGCAAAAACCAGAAAAUGGUCUUGUUAAACCUCCUCUUUGGUUUUUCUCAUCAUAGACAUCACCCAAAACAUAUACAUGUGUGUUGUGAUUUCUGGUGGUUGAUGACAUGAAUACUUCUUUAUUGCAAUUAAUCUUAAAUCAAGUGCAAGUGAUGUUAUUUAUGGACUAUUUGAUAAGCAAAAUCCUGAAUUUUAUAUGGAUUUGACUGGUUUUGUAAGAGCUGGAUGUUAUAGUUGUCGUCAAGUUUCCAGCUUAUGCUUUUGUUAACUUGGGUUCCUGAAUUAUUAAUUUGAACUUUCAGGCGCAAAGCAUCAUUGCUUGCUGGAGAUAUAAACCACUUGAAGAGAGCUCAGGAAGAAGGCUGCAGAAGGUAGUGAAGGUCUUUUCCUGCCAUUGGAUGUUGAUGAAGAGUUGAGCAUAAGAGUACGGUUUGCAUGGUGCCCCCUAUUUAAUCAAGGCUUCUAUAUGUUGUACCUUGGAAGGCAGGGUGAAGAACACUUUUUUCUGACGAACAGCUGCAAAGAAGGGCACUGUGAUGAUACUGGAGUAAACCAGUUUCUUGCAGGCUCCAUCCAACAGGCAGCAAAUCCAUACUCGACAAAUUUUCCGCCUCACAAGAUUUCUCAUUAAAAUCCACAUUUCGAAUAAGAGGAGAAGGGUAGCUUUAUUUAAACCAUCCCCGUCAUCUCAGGACAUAUCUGGUGAGCCUAUCAUUUUUUAGUGAUGGUUGAUGCUUUCAUAAGGUUCAUUAUCUCCUCUCUCAUCAUAGAGGGUGGUCAUGUCAUGCAGUUGAUUUAGAGGAUAUUUUAUCUCGUUCUGUAUGAAAAUGAGAGAGAUACAGUUACAGACAUGAACUGCACUUUUUGUAAUGAUAAUUACUGAUAACAUAAUGCAAUAAUAAAUGCUAAUUAUCUCCACACAAUUUCUUCUGGGAAUUUGUUUUCUGAUGUCUUUCUCAUAACCUCUUAAUAAUUAAUGGAAGUUGGCUUUAAUACUUUUUUUGCUUCAGUACAUAAUGUCAUUUGAGAGUAAUAGAAUACAAACUGAAAAAUUGUACAAAACACUAGUAACAUUUAAUGCAAUGAUUUUAUAGAUCAUUUAUAUGGAAAGUAAAUCGAUUAUAUUACCCUGAUAAUUACUUGCGACUUCAGUUAAUGAGAUUUUUAUGGAUGUUCGUAUAGAGUUUUGCAUGCUUAACUGUAGUGCAGUGUUAUUUAACAAGUUAUUUUUGUUUCCGUAAAUAAUUUUAGGAAACUAUAAAAUUUAGGACACUACUAAUAUUAGCUAUAAGAUUAUCUUUCCAUGUAUAAAAGCUAAUUAUUAGAAAUCAGUUAUACUUCCAUGUAUAGAUGGAAUUAAUAUAUAAGGAAAGAGAGGAACUGACAAGGGGUGUGUUCUUGGAGAAACAAAGCUCUCUGUUUUAGGUUUCUCUUGGUUUUGCAUAGUAUAUUGACAUGGUAUCAAUAGCAGGCUGCUAGAUUGUCUGUCUUUCACGAAUUUUUUUCUUUCUCAGGAGAGCUUCUUUGUGGAUUCUCAUUCACACAAAGAAGUGCAUUAAACAAGCAAGAGAGAUCAAUUCUUGAUAAAGCUCCGUUUUGAUUUUGAAACUGCACGUUCUCAUCUGAUGAAUCAUUAUCUUGUAUUAUCUCUGGAUACCUGAUUGAGUGAAUUUCUUCAUGAGGAGCAGUGUAUUGUAACUCAGGCUGUCAUGGAACAUCAGGCUAAUGUUAGCGCAUCUGUUUCUGUGAUUUAUGUAACACAGGGGAGGAAUAAAGGUAGAGACAUGUGUUUUAUCCAGUGCUUUAGUUGUAAAGCUUUUGGUCAUAUUGUUCCAAGAAGUUCUGUAACUACUACAAGAAACAGAGUUAUAUCAUCUCUGUUUGUCCCAUUCAACCUGAAUGUAAGCAGGGUAACAUUUAAUGCAAUGAUUUUAUAGAUCGUUUAUAUGGAAAGUAAAUCGAUUAUAUAACCCCGAUAAUCACUUGCCACUUCAGUUAGUGUGAUUUUUAUGGAUGUUUGUAUAGAAUUCUGCAUAUUUAAUUGUAGUGCAGUGUUAUUUAACAAGUUAUUUUGUCACUUGUCUCUAGUUUUGCUGUUAAAUCUGCCUUAGAUUCAGCUUCUGCACACUAGUAUUCGUAUUGAGAGUCAGAGGUUCCUUAACAGUUUGGUUUGGAAUUGAAUGACGAAUCGUCAUUUCCUCUGUUGACUUAACUGAAAGCUUCACUUCUAUUCUCGAGCAAGACCCUCUUACUGAUAGGGCUAGUCCCCAAGACCAAGGGAACUGAUGGAGGAAAUGCUUGUCGACAGAUUUUCAAGAAAAACACCAUUGUUUUUGGAGGAAGCGAGUGAAAAGAAGAUUACUUGGAGUGAGUUAAAAAGCGCAAUAGAGAAAGCCAGUGUACAAAGAACGAGUCAAAAGAGAGGGUAAAGAAGCUAUCUUUUCCUUGUUUCCUUUGGGAGUGAUCUAUGAGUGCUCCAUGUUUGAUUCUCCUUUUCAGGUUUGCAUUUAAGAGCUUCUUUCGUUUUGAAUACUUGUGUAUAUGCAUGUUCUGGAAAAUGGUCAUCUCUUUCCAAUCUCACCAUUUUUUCUUGGACUAAAAGAGAUUGAUAAUCAGAUCUGAAUUAAUUGAAGUAUACAUUGAAGGGUAUAAACUGCUGGUUGUUUGUGAAUGUGUGUGCUUAAACUACUUCCAUCUUGAUUGGUUGCAUGUUGCUUAUCAUAAAAUGUUCAAUAAAAUUCCUCGAGUUAAGGGAACUAAAAUACAAAUUGCAACAGACCUGAUUUGUAAGUAGAGGGAAAUAAUAGAAGAAGAUAGCAGUGCAGAAGAGAGCAGGUUUCUUCAAUGAAUAAAGGAUGAUUGAAAGGAUUGGAUACCACUCUAACAGAAAGGAAAAAUAGAUUAGUUUCUGCAUGCUUGUCAUUAAAAAAAAAAAGACGGAGAAGUAGCUUAUAAGUUCAAAUCUAAAUCAUGAACUUUAAGAGAGCUAUUUAGAAUUAAAAUAUUGAAAAUAAAUCAAGUUAAAGGCAUGAAAGUAGAAAACAAGAUAUAGUAGAUAGCCAUAGUUUUAUCACCUGUACAAGUAUUUGGGAUUGUGGUGCAGGGCUACAGUUUUAUCUGUAUUCUGGUUCCUGACACUGCAAGUUGAAGUCCCCAUCUAAUGUGUUAGAAGAAACUGAGCAAUAAAUAUGAGCUAGGAAAUGUUCAAGGGCAGAGGUGAACUAUUUGAUCUUGCAAAUCCAAGCAAGACGAUGAAGAAAUGGUUCUAACAUCAUCUUCACGGUGUGAGUGGAUACAUGGAUUGGAUUCAAGAGCAUGCUGAGGAAUAUUUUGUGUGUUUGGAGAGGCAGGGAUGUUAGAGAAAAGUUCAUUGUCAAGGGAACAAAGCUCAUCACCAACAGUGCCUGUAGGAUAACAAUAUGUUUCCAUGGCAUGACCUGGUCGAAGACGCUGUCGACGACCUGUCAUGAUGGAGUCCCUCAAUAAGAAUGGAGUUUGAAUCUAAACACCGGCAAAAGCAAUGACAACAACCUCAACAAAAAAAAGCUAAGUGAAUUGAAAGAUUAUUUAAAAACUGUAGUGAAAUUAUGUAUAAGAUGUGAGGUGUUAAUUGUAGACUGAAGAUUGUGUGAGGACAAAACAAAAACAUGAAAUUGAGGCAAAAUAUCAAAACUAUGAAAAUCAAGCAAAAUUCUAAAAGGCAUUGGUUUUUUUGCCCUUGACCUGCAAUACCCACACACUAAAAAACAAUUGUGCACAUACUGUGCAAUUCUUAAUGAAAAGCCCCAAACAUGGAUAAUAUGUUAGAAGUUUAGGGAAAGUUUCACUAUGCUCUUCAAACUUUUAAAUAAACACAAAUUAUACAAUUCUUGUACAUCAACAAUUAAUUGUCCAAUUCAAUAUAGCAAAAAUAAUCCGGUAUGCCUCUUGUUUUUGGAAUAUAAUGUGGUUGGAACCUAAAACUUUUUAAAAAAUUAUCGUCAAAGCGUGUAUAAGCUCAAAGAUUGGUUGGUCGGUCGUCAGAACCACCAAAAUAUAAUUCUGACUUAACUAUCACAAACAAAAUAAAUUUAUAGUAUGAUCGUGAAAACCAAGUCAAAUCCAAGGGAAAUUUCGUUUAAUUUUCCUACAAUAUAAUGAAAUGAGAAAGAACAAGGGAUUUGAAUGAAAAAUUCAAGAAACAAUAAUUCUGAAAAUAAUAAAUUGAUAUGUUGUUAAAUCAGUUCAAGGGUCCGCACAUCCAUUCUUAUAAAUCUAUUGGUCAUCGAAGUAAAAUAAAUAUUCUUUCACGUUAAGCAAAUAAAUUCGAUAUCCCUUAAAGCUGAGGGAAAUCGAUGAGAUUACGAAUAUAUUAAUUAAGAAAAGCUCUCUAAUUAAUUUCUUACCAUCAAGCGAAUGUAAUAUUGAAAGCAAUUUUCAUUCACUCGGCAGUAGUCUUAGGAAUAAAAUCUGUAUAUUUAUUCUAAGCAAACAUUCAAAAGCUUGAGAAUUUUAACUUAGUUUAUUAUUUUCUAAUAAAUCAAGAUGAGAGUUGCAGCAAUCAAAUUAAUUCUUUUGCUUCUUAUUGUAGUCCUUAACAACAAUUACGGAUAGAAAGAAACUAAAAAGCAUACAUGCCAUCUCAAAACAAUUCAAUAAGCUUGAAUAACAAUCAAUAGCAUAAUUAUGAACAAUGAAAAAAUAAAUACUUGAAUAUGAAAGAAUUACAAUAAUAACAUUACUUCUCACAACGUGCUAAUGAAGAUGGUGUGUGUCCCUCUUGAACCGAAUUCAGGAGUUUAGUUCAUGGUUGCUGGAAAAUUGACAAAAGCAGAGAAGAAAGGAAUGUUUUUCGGAUCCUGUUUCAGCUCUAUUUAUCCUCCCCCUUUGCUACUGAAAUCUUCAGGAUUCUUAGGCUAACUAGGAGUCUUCAUGAUGCUAAAUUCGUUCCUUCUUUAUCUAUUCUUUAAGGUUGGAUAAAUCUCUCAGAAUUUGUGUUGAAAUCUGCUUCUACUGCUGUCACAAUUCUAUUGUAAUACCAACUCUGUUGCAAUUUGGAUUUUGAUUCUGACUUGGUUUCUUGCAAUAUCCGACCAUCCCAGCUAUAUUCUUUCAUUCAUGACAUGUUAAAGGCUUGAUCUGCACCUUUAUUGGGUCCUAAGACCCACCGUUUUUAUGUCAGAUUCUCAGCCGUAUUGAGAUGCUCGACACCGUUAGUUUCUAAAUCAGAUCAGGGACCCAUUUCGACCAACCAGAUUGCGUCCGGAUUCUGUCCUUCAAAACAAUUUUAUCUGAUUUUGAUUCCUUCAUGAAAUUUGUAGUCCUGUAUGUGUCAAUGAAUUUAGGUUUUUGAAUCGCCUGAUUUCGAUAUCAGAAGGUCAAGAUAUUCCCGUUUGAAUCUCUAGUGUGAAAGCAGAGAAUCCUGCUGCGAAAAGGAUUUUGGCUCGAGUUUGCAAGUCUGAUUCGAGGUCCAAAUGAGAUCAGAAUUUUACCCAUAAUACCUUUCUGGAAAGCUUGACAUGUAUACUUCAACUUAGAUUAAGCCCACCUUCUCAUUUUGGAACUCUGACUUGGCAAAAAACCUGUCACAAAAAGCUAGGUCAAAAACAUAAAAUGCAGAAUUUCUUAUCUUUUAACGAUUAAUUCACGAAGUCUCUUCCACGUGCUAAACUCAUAAAAAUAACUUCCAUUCAACUCAAAUAAGUUCAAAAUAUAUAACAAUCAUAGUGUAAAAGGAAUAAACACGUGUAUAUUUUGCACUUAUCAAUAAUGUGUUAGAAGUUUAGGGAAAGUUACAUUAUGGUCCUCAAACUUGUAAAUAAACACAAAUUAUACAAUUCUUAUAUGUCAACAAUUGUCCAAUUCAAUAUAGCAAAAAUAAUCUGGUAAAUAUUCUGUCUUGUGAGACAUGAACAUAUGCCUCUUGUUUUUGGAAUAUAAUGUGGUUGGAACUUAAAGCUUUUUAAAAAAUUAUCGUCAAAGCGUGUAUAAGCUCGAAGAUUGUGUGAGGAUUGAACAAAACACCAAUUUGAGCAAAAAAAAAAAAGAAAACAAAAACAAUGGAAAACCAAGUAAAAUCUAAAUGUUUUUUUUUUGUUGCUUUUGAGCUGCACUAUCCACACACCCAAAACUUAUUUUGGGUGAUCCAAAUAAUUCAAUUUGGUUAUCUAAGUUUUAUUUUGGGUGAUCCAAUCCUAACUGAAACUUAUUUGACUUUGAUUUCCUAGUCAAGCGUAGGACUGGAAGAAUAGGUACCAGAAUAAGAAAAAUCCCCAAAUGCGUUGGUGCGUGUUUUCCACGUGCCAACAACUUUUUAAAAUUUAAUAUUAAAAAUAAUGUUAAAUUACUAAAAAGCCCCUUCAUAACCCUGUAAAUAAAUAGAAAAACCAAUGUGAAAGUAUCAAAACACCUCUGCAUGCAUAGAAGCUAUUUUGUCUUAUAUACGGGCAAAGAUGUAUUUUGUUGAUUUUCAAGUUUGUAUAAAGUCAAAAACACCCUUAGUCAGCGGGUUUAAAUUUUGUUGACCUUGGGGGCAGAAGUGUAUUUUUAUUGUGCAAAAUAAUUUGCAAAGACAAUAAUACCCAUGUUCAAUCUUUUAAUGGCCAUCGAGUCACCAUAAAAAGACUAAAAUACCCCCAUUUCAUAACCUUCAAACUUUUCCAUCGAGGGGCACAAAGGUAAAUUCACUAUAGCAAUCCACAGUAAACCGUGUCUAUUGCUAUAGUGAAUUAAUCUCGCGUUUUAGCUUUUUCUUAAAUAAAUAUUUUUAAUAAAUGGGAAAAUAGAAACCCUAAUCAUAAGCUAUGUUUGAUUAUUGUGUGUUUGGUAUUGUGGUGUUAUGGUAUUUUUCAUUAGAAAAAUAUUAAAAUAUUUUUAUUUUUAUUUUAAUAUAAAUACAUCAAAAAUAUUGAAAAACACUUUUAAAAAAAAUUAAUUUGAUAAUUUUUCAUGUUAAACACGCUACUAAAAUAUACUCCAACGCAUGUUGAAACGCUAUACUGAACAACGAAGCAUGCAUGUCUUACAUAGGAAACAUGUAAAAGAAAUAAUCAAAUUGCAAAAAGCUUUCCCCCAUGCAUGCAUGCAUGCAUGUCUUUUGCCAAAACAAUGACAGUUCCCGAUCCUUCUUUUGAAAGGAAACAACAAAAGCAAGAUUGACACUAGAAACCCAUUAUGGACCAUGAGGGUAAAGGACCAGAUUUAUAAGAGUUAAUUAUAAGUCAAUUCUUGUAAUUUAUCAGGGUAAAUAUAUAAAUUAAUUAUUAUAAUAUUAAAAAAAUAAUUAUAAAGUGCUCUGACCAAAAUUGACUAUGCAUAAUUUAUUGCUAUUUAGUUUCAAAAAACCUCCUCUCUCUCAUCAAUGUUUCGAUAUUAUUAAAUUAGUUUUUAUCUUUUUAUAUUUUUUAAAUAGAUUAGAUAAAAACUUUAAAGUGAAAAAAAUGAUUGAAUUAGUUUUUUUUUUUUUUUAAAAAAGGAAAGAUAGUUAAUUAGUUUUGAUAAACUCCUAGGGAUUAAGGUAUGGUUUACCUCCAGCUUGUAAAAAUAUCACGUGUAAGAAACUUGUCAUAGCGCCGACUUGUAAGAAUAUCACGGGCAAGACACUUGCCAUAGCGCCAACACGUUAUCACAUUGACAAGUCAAAGUACUUGUAGAUCUCCAGAAUCUUCUAAGGUUUUAUCUUUGUUUGGGGCCCGAGUUGGCCAGUCGGAUGGGUGAAGGGUAAUUUGGGUUUUCGGUUCCAUAUUUCACAUCUGUGCUUUUGAGCUCCACGUUUGUGCCAGCGUCACCUUUUUUUUUAUCUUUUUUUUUAUGUACAAAGAGAAAAAAAAAUCUUAUUUCCAAACUUUGAUUACCAUUCGGAUGCAUGUUCGGUCUGAGAUUUGUUUUUGAAUAUUUUUAAAAGUAUUUUUAUUUUUAAAAAAUAUUAAAUUGAUAUUUUUUAGUGAUUUUAAUGUACUAAUAUUAAAAAUAAAAAAAUCUUAAAUAAAUUUAUUUUAAUAUAUCUUUAAGUAAAAUGUUAUUUUAAAAUAAAUUUGCAUCAUAAUUUCAAAUACAUAUUUAAAUCAAAAUCACUGAAUAAAUUUUUUUAUAUUGAAAAACAGAUGAAUCUGGAAUCCAAAUGAUAUCCUGAAAUAUAAAAUUACCGCAGUUAUUUUUUUAUUUUUUACAAAAAAAAGCAAAUAAAAGAUCCGUCUAAAUUGAGUUGUGCCAUCUAAAAAUAAUAAUUUCACGGGUAUUUUGGAUAUUAAAUCUUCAGUACAUAAUUUUUCUCUUCCGUAGGAUUUCAUUGUUUAUAUUCUACGUGAUUCCAAGAUAAUCCCCCCCAACAAAAAAGGAAUACCAUCGUUCAAAAAUAAGGAAAAACACAGCAUUUCUAGCAAAACAAGCAAUCAAAACCCCGAAACAAGGUGGUGAAUUGUGGGCAAAUGAUGGGUUUUUUUUUGCAGAGAUUGAGCUCUGGGAUUUUGGAGAAAUGGGUCACUUUCAGCUUCUUUUGUUUUGGAUGUCAUGGAGAGCUAAAGUGCUUGUUUAUCGCAUGUUUUUUCCUGUGGAAGAAUCAUGUCAUGAUGGGAGGAAAACAGAACAUUGGAUGUCACUCCCAUCACUUUACAUCGUGGAACAUAGAUUAAGAAAUUGUGUUGGCAAGUGUGGGGUCCAAAUAGUCCAGAAAAUACAAAUAUCAUUUUUGUUUGUGGAACAAAAGUUUCAGAAUGACAAGAAGACAAGGAAAAUAGGACAGCAGAAGUUUCCAACACAACAUCAAACAAGCAGUUUUCAGGUAUCAAUCGCUAGACUGUCAUCGUUUAGGUCACACCAGGCUAGCAUCUGGUGGAGCUGAAAUGCUGGCGGUAGGUUUCAUUUGAGCACAGACUUCGAUGGCUCCUUGAACUGGGUCCGAUAGGAAGUUCCAAGGAGGUCGUGGCUGGUAGGAGCACCAUUAUCCGCUGCUUCCAGUGCCUGCUGGGUGAUCAUAUGUGAGAUGAUGGCAAAUGAAUCUUAAGGAACAAGAAAAAUUCUCAUCACAUAUUAGAAUGUUGGCUACAUAAAACCAAUGCCCCUGCAAGAACAUCAUCAAUUCCUUACUUCUAUUUACUGCAGGGUUCAUCUUCAUAGCACUGAUACUGGCUGUCCAUGAAAGGAAGUUACUGGGCACAGAGUAUGUGAACACAAAAAGAAACUUAAACGAGCAGAAGCUUGUAUGUGAACACAGACAUGCACGUACAUCAUAAAUGUGCAUUGAGCGGUCACCGAGAAAUGGCAUGGUACCAAGCUCCUUUCUUACGACGUAGAAUGUCAUAAAAGUAACAGAAGUACACAGUUUGAAGGACAUGCAAAAGGCAUCAAGUUAAAGCAACCUAUUCAACUGUUUGGCCUAAAUCUUAUAGUGGUAGCACGGGUUUCAGCAAAAGAGCACAAAUCCUUCCUUUAUCAUACAAAGGAGCCAUGGGAUAUUAUGUAGUCAAGUUCGAGGAAUUAAUCACCCAAGUCAAAGGAAUUUCCCAAGCAGGGAAGAGACAACUUCAAUGAACAACUCCGAAAUUAUCACAUUAAUGGAAAAACAGUGAAAAUAAUGAAGCUAACAGGUAUCAAACAUGCAUGCUGAUUUUCAAGCAUCAUGCACACAUGGAUUUAUUUGUCAAAAAAUAUUGUUGUUUAUAAAUAUAAUUUAUAUUAAAAAAAAACAAACAGGGGAAAGACAAGCAACAAAAUGCACACUAUAACGAGUUAAAAAUCCUAAAUCACUACCUUUGGUUAUCAAAUACUAAAUUAAGGUUUCCAUUUGAUUUUGCUUUCACAAAACUGAACUUUACAUUAGAGCAGGAAAUAAUAAAGAAAAUAAAUUUGGAACAAACGACAAUGAGGUAGGAAAUGCAAUACCUCAUCGUGGCCAGGAAUAAUCUUCUCCUUGAAACCUGAGGUUUCAAAAUCAAGAGGAUCCAGAGGCUUUGCACUUGGUGCCAAAACCGUUUCUACAGCACCGAUUGAGCCCUCGAUGCCAUCGCCACCGCUACUGCCACCCACACCACCAUCACUUCCACCACCAAUUUUACUAAUACCGGACCAUACCGUAGGAACAGAGAAGAUCCAAGGUAUUAAAUUGGAGAGGAUUCUAGAUGGAAAACUAGCCCAUAGUUUCAGGAAAUUCGAUAAUAUCGCGUGAUUGAACAAAAAUACAGAGACAACGCAACGAAAUGAAAAUUCUGUUUUUUUUUCGUUGCCCGCCGAGGAUAUCUUCCCACUACUUACAGAGCGGAUACGAAGAUCAAGACUUACAGCACACGUUGGCGACUCCGUUUUAAUAGAGUGUUCGCCGCCUCUCCCACCAAUGUUGCCUCCAUCACCACCACUACUAUUAUUACUAUUAAUGGUAUUUCUAAGCAGCUUGAUAAAACUUAUGAUAGCUGCACUGUGGAUGAGAACUGAUGGAAACAGCUCACAAAAUGUUUGCGAUUGAAGGGAGUUCGAUUGUUUUGGAGCAGCGAGGAGAAGAGUGGAAAUGUCAGAAUGAAUCUCAAAUUGUGUUUCCUUUUCUUGACCACCAGCAGGGGAGAAUUUCUCCAUCUUGCUGAUAGAAGCUCCGAAACCCAGAGAGAUUCGCAACGGUUUGAUAUCAAAACCAGGGCCAGGCGUCGACAACAUUUUAGGACGGAAAGCUGAGCUUCUCCCAACAACGUUAAUCUGCUUGGAUCUUGGGAGAGAUAAACAAGCUAAAUGGGGUUUGAUUAACGAUUUCGCUGGUGAUUUUAAGGGUUCUGGACAGGAUAGAGUAGAAGAGAAGUGCAAGGCCGCCAUUUCUGUCUUGACUGGGUUUCUGGUUUGAGGGUUUUGGAAACAAGCGGUUAGUAUUUAUAGAAGAAAGGCGUUGCUUGUCUGUUUCUAACACUAGCGUCAGGUAGAUAACGUAAGUCCAUCAUAGGGGGGCGAGAGAAUCUAUUAACUCGAGAAGAUCUAAUGGACUCAGAUUUAAUCAUCCUUUGUUUUUUUUUCUUUUAUUGGUGGGCACAAAGAAGGAGGCUAAUAAAUUCCUCAAUCAUUAGAUAGUCAGUUAAUUUUAAGGUGUUUGCGCAUUACAUUUUUAAGUGUAUGUUCUGUAAUUAGCAGUUGCUUGAAGGGGCAAGUUGGGUUUUUACUUUUUAGUCUUGUGCUUUAUUUUUUAAUAAAAUAAUAUUGUCUGAAAAUUACAUUGUAUUACUACAAAUUCUCUCCGUGCAGAGACAAGCAUGGUUUGCUUCUCUUGUCUUCCUCUUCCUGGUAAACCCCCCUGUUCAUUUUCUAUUCUUUAAAACUAAAUGUUAAGGUUUUUAUAGAACUAUUAAUAUUGAUGUUUCAUUGUUGGCUAUAUUUUUUAAAGUUUGACCUUUUUCUUGCCCCUUAAUAAAUAUUGUGGUGAGAAUAAAAUUUAGAAACUUGAAAAUUAGCUGGAUUGAGUGUUUCUGAUUAUAUGGGCUGCUUAGUUUUUUAUGUUUGGUUGAAUGUUUGCUGAUUUUGGAAUUUAUGGCUCUUUUCAAUAAUCAUAAUUUUCCAAUCUCGGGAGAUCAAAAAAAUGCCUUUUUGUUGGUAUUAAUUGCUGGGUUGAUUAUUUCAGAGGUUGACUUUACAGGUAUUUGAUGACCUUCAUCUGAUAAUACCAAGGGCAGAUGUCGAGAUCUUUCUUCUUAGAUGUUGAUGAACAGCUGCAAAGAAGAGCAUAAGGAGGCCACUUUCUUGCGGGCUCUGUCGACCGGGCUAUCAGAUCCACACUUGACAAAUUAAGUUUUCUGUUUCACAAGAGUUACUCCAAACUUUCAAGCUAGUGGAGAAGGGUUUCCCUUUCGAUUCCUCCUUGUCUUUUUUUUUUUUUUCAGGAUCUCUGUUGAGCACAUGAUUUCUUAGAUAUAACUUUUCUCCUCACUGUGCACUGGAGGUGGUGAUGCAGUUGAUUUAUAGCAUAUUUAAUUGUCUUGUUCUAUGAGGAAUUGAGAGUUGAUUAGAUCACAAAUGCUUUAAUGUUCCAGCAUAAUAGACGGCUGAAUAUAAUGAAUUUCCUGGAAUGUGCAUUACUUAUAGCAUAAUUGACGUUUAUUAUAUUGAAGUAAUUUUUUUCUGGCAGUUGUUUGAUAAUUGAUGGGGGUUUGGGUUUUAGUCCCUUUUACCAAAAUGUUCUUAUAAUUGAAAGUAAAAUUGCUGCUGACAACAUGAGUUGGUUAAUUUUGUUGUUGAGUGCUUGAUAAUUGCUUGUUAGGGUUGUACGAACUUUUAAAUUUAUGAUGCUCUUCAAGAAUCUUAUAUGACAAUUGAAGUUAAAUUUCAAGAAAAUGUUUAGAAAGUGAACCAUUCAUUUUUGUUUUUCUGGUUGAUGUUAUUGCUGCACGAGGACGCAUUAGCAGAGAUAAUGAAAAGUAUCCUGAAAAUGGAUAUAAAUUCCAUAAAAAUUGGAUAAUUUAUUGUAGGUUAUUGUACUUUUUUUGCUGGUGAAUGUCAAUAGAAAGCCAUAAAUAGCUUACCAUAUAGGCUAUGUCUUGUUAAUAAUAUAAGGUGUAUAUACUCUCAUAAUUAUGAAAGGAGAUUUAGCUUACAAUGUAUAGCUUCCUAAGAUCACACCAGUCAUCAUUUAUGGUUUCCUUGUAUAACUAGUUUCCAUGUAUAACCAAGUAGCAUGACCUAUAUGUAAUGGUGAUAUGCUGAAAAUAAAGGUAUUCUGAAUUCUGAUUUCUGAAUUUUGUCAUGGUAUCAAAGCCCUCAGUCAUAGUUUUCUAAGAACCCUUUGUUUUUUCUUUCUCAAUCAUAGUCUUAGUACUCAUGGAGAAGUCAAAUAAUGUUUGUAUAAGAUUCACUGGCAAAAAUUAUGCUGCUUGAAAGUUUCAAUUAGAGACUUUUCUCAAAGGUAAAGAGCUGUGAGGACAUAUAGAUGGCAGGAGCAAAGGGAGAUCUAAUGCAGAAGAUUCUGUGGCUAACAAGGCAGCUUGGGAGGCCAAAGAUAAUCAAAUCAUGUCCUGGAUUCUUGAUUCUAUGGAGUCACAUCUGAUUCUUCCUCUGCGUCUAUGGAAUUAUCUAAAACAAGUCUAUAAGCAAGACAACAAUGUCAGACACUUCCAACUUGAGUUAGCCAUUGCGAACUAUACGCGAGAGGAUCUUUCAGUCCAAGACUACUACUCUGGUUUUCUGAUUUUGUGGAAUAACUAUUCUGAUCUUGUUGCAACCACUGUCUCUAUAGAAGGAUUGGAGGCAGGAUUGGCAACAAUACAACCAGUACACAACCAACUAAAAAGAUUAAUUUCUAAUGAAAUUGAGGCUUGAUUUUAAAGCUAUUUGUGCCUCUCUAGUAAAUAGAGAUCUUGUUCCGACUUUGGAGGCAUGCUUAGGAGAACUCUUGCGUGAGGAACAAUGUAUUGCUUCUAACACUGGAGUAAACCAGUUUCUUGCAGGCUCCAUCCAACAGGCAGCAAAUCCAUACUCAGAUCCAGAGGCUUUGAACUUGGUGCCAAAAUCGUUUCUACAGCACCAAUUAAGCCCUCGAUGCCAUCGCCACCGCUACUGCCACCCACACCACCAUCACUUUCACCACCAAUUUUACUAAUACCGGACCAUACUGUAGGAACAGAGAAGAUCCAAGGUAUUAAAUUGGAGAGGAUUCUAGAUGGAAAACCAGCCCAUAUUUUCAGGAAAUUCGAUAAUAUCGAGUGAUUGAACAAAAACACAGAGACAACGCAACGAAAUGAAAAUUCCAUUUUUUUUUUGGUUACAGAGCGGAUACGAAGAUCAAGACUUACAGCACACGUUGGCGACUCUAUUUUAAGAGAGUGUUCACCGCCUCUUCCACCAAUGUUGCCUCCACCACCACCACCACUAUUAUUACUAUUAAUGGUAUUUCUAAGCAUCUUGAUAAAACUUAUGAUAGCUGCACUGUGGAUGAGAACUGAUAGAAACAACUCACAAAAUGUUUGUGAUUGAAGGGUAUAAACUGCUGGUUCGGUGAAUGUGUGUGCUUAAACUACUUCCAUCUUGAUUGGUUGCAUGUUGCUUAUCAUAAAAUGUUGACUAAAAUUCCUCUAGUUAAGGGAACUAAAAAACAAAUUGCAAUAGACCAGAUUUGUAAGUAGAGGAAUUGAGAGUUGAUAGGAUAAAAAAUGCUUUAAUGUUCCAGCAUCAUAAAUGGCUGAAUAUAAUAGAUCAUGUUCAACUUCCUCUUUGGUUGUGUGUAAUGAAAGAGGAGAGCUUGUGGAGGUUACCGCUAGAGUGGAUAAAAAAACAGUCUCUGCAGAGAGAAACAUUACUGCUCUGAUGAAUGUUAGUGAGGCAGAGAGGAAACCUAGAGCCAAGAUUAAUAAACAUCUUGAUACACUUAAGAACCGAGUACCCGGUACUCAUAAGUUAGUUGUUUUUUUCAGGAUUGAUCAGGUUGAGAUUUGAGUUUAAUCACAGUUCUUGAAACCUCCUAUUUUUUUAUGAAUUUUGUUUCUUAAAGCAUGAGAAUAAAAUUUUUAGGAAACUAUUUAUGUUACGUUUACAAUUUUCAAGUAAUUGUUGUCAUUACUUGUUGAUUGAGAUCGAUGAUAAAUCAAGAGCAGGUGAUGUUAUUUAUGAACUGUUUGAUAAAUAAAUUCUUGAUAUUUAAUGUUCCAGCAUAAUAGAUGGCUGAAUAUAAUGAAUUUCCUGGAAUGUACAUUAAUGAUAGCAUAAUUGAUGUUUAUUAUAUUGAAGUAAAUUUUUCUGGCAGUUGUUUGAUAAUUGAUGGGGGUUUGGGUUUUAGUCCCUAUUGGCAGAAUAUUAUGAUACUUGAUGGGAGUUUGGCUUUAUAAGUCAAAAAUCGCACAAUGUGUAAACAAGUUUCCCUGGUGGCAUCAAAGUUAUUACUAUUUUGGAACUCAACUAUAGCUUGUGGAGGUUACUGCUAGAGUGGAUAGAAAAACAGUCUCUGCAGAGAGAAACAUUAGUGCUCCGAGGAAUGUUAGUUAGGCAAAGAGGAAACCUAGAGCCAAGAUUAAUGAGCAUCUUGAAACGCGAGUACCCGGUACUCAUAGGUUAGCUGUUUUUUGUCAGGAUUGAUUAGGUUGAGGUUUGAGUUUAAUCACAGUUCUUGAAGCCUCUUUUUUUUUCUACGAAUUUUGUUUCUUAAAGCUUGAGAAUAAAAUUUUGGUAAACCAUUAGGUAAUGCAAUUGAAAGUAAAAUUGUUGCUGACAACAUGAGGUGUUUAAUUUUGUUGUUGAGUGUUUGAUAAUUGCUCAUUAGGUUUGUUCGAACUUUUGAAUUUAUGAUGCUCUUCAAGAAUCAUAAAUUAUAUGACAAUUGAAGUUAAAUUUCAAGAAAAUGUUCCAUUCAUUUUUGUUUUUCUGGUUGAUGUUAUUGCUGCACGAGGAUGCAUUAGCAGAGAUAAUGAAAAGUAUCCUGAAAAUUUAUUGUGCUACUUUUUUGAGUUGUCAAGAAUAAGAAUGACUGAGCUGCGCUGCUAUGAUUCGCUUGGUUGUCAGUUAGUUCUGAUAGCUUUUCAUAGCAGUUAAAUUUUCAGGUAAUUGUUGUCAUUAAUUACUUCUUGAUGCUAUUUAUGGAUUGUUUGAUUAACAAAUUCUUGAUAUUUAGAUGAACUAAUUCAGUUUGUGAAUCACUGUCAAGUUUCUGGCUUAGUGGUAUGUUGAGUUGGGCUUUCAGAUUAGUAGUUUGAACUCGGAUGGACAAGGUAUUAGGAUAGCUAAUGGAAAACCAGAUUACUCAACCUAAUUGGGUAUGAUCUACUGGACUAUGUCAUUGGUCUCUCAUUGUGCCCUUCAUCUGAUGGCACUUCCCAAUCUACCUUGAAAAUAACCCAUUGGGUUUGGCAGGACAAAUUAAUUCUCAGUGCAAUCCUUGUUUCCACCUCCACCUCAAUUACUCCCCUCAUCGCCACCACUAAAACAUCUCAUGAGGCAUGGAAAAAACUAAAUCACAUAUAUGCUAGUCAAUCUCAAAUGAGAGCUAUGCAACUCAAGGAGGACCUUACCUUGAUUCAAAAAGGAAAUCGAUCAAUUCAGGAGUAUCUCCACGCAGUAAAAGCGUUGGCUGAUGAAAUUGCUCUAAUCGAUCAUCCCAUCUUUAAUGAUGAUCUAACUCUUUAUAUUCUUUAUGGUUUGGGUUCUGAUUUCAGGGAAAUUGCUGCACCAAUUCAUGCGAGGGAGAAAUCCUUGAAUUUUGAACUUCUUGAUUUGCUGGUUGGUCAUGACAGCUACCUUCGGCGACUGGAAUCGGCUACCCAUCAACUUGUGGCAUCAGUGAAUUACACAAAUCGCAAGAACUCUUUUGGAAACUCUUUCCAGAAGAAUCAAAAACCCAGUGGUUUCUCAUGAAACCAGGGUCCUCACAGAGAAAACCGGUAGAAUAAUAAGCCAUUCGGCCAGCCCAAUGCAACACAAAAAAGGUACCAGCCCAAAUGCCAAUUUUGUGACCAAAUUGGUCACACGGCCAAAACAUGCCCUCGCUUGAAUUCUCAUACAGUCACAGCAAAAUACAUUUCUACCUCAAAUGCCACAAACAAUAAAUGACUCAUGGACUCUGCUGCAUCCCAUAAUGUUACUGGUGAUCUCAACAACCUAUCAAUUCACUCAGAAUAUAAUGGCACUGAUGAAGUCGUGCUCGGUAAUGGUUCAAGUUUGAUUGUUUCACAUAUAGGAUCUUAAAAUCAAAACACAAAAAUUUCAUUCUCAAAGACACACUUUGUGUUCCAGAUAUCUCCAAAAACCUUAUAUUUGUGCACCAUUUUACUGCUCAAAAUAAUGUCUUUAUUCAAUUUCACCCAUCUUAUUUUCUUGUGAAGGACACGAACUCAGGGGUGAUCCUGGCAAAAAGUGUAUGUGAAAAUAGUGUUUACAUCUUACCGAAUACACUAGCGGCAACUCUCUUCCCCAUGGUCACCAAUGUGCAUGAAAAAACCUCUUUUGACGGGUGGCAUAAACGGCUUGGUCAUCCUUCCUCCAAAAUUGUUCACAAUGUUGUUCGUCAGUUUUCACUUCCAUUCACAACCACUCAAAAGUCAUCUCUAUGUCCUUCAUGUUCUAUUGAUAAAGCACAUCAACAACCUUUUCGAUCUACUAGUAUAUCAAGCACUGCACCUCUUAAUCUUAUUUAUACUGAUGUUUGGGGUCCUGCUCACUGUGUUGGUUUAGAUGGCUUUCGGUAUUACCUCAUUUUCAUUGAUCACCACACCAAAUACAUGUGGUUUUAUUCUAUGGAAACAAAAUCUGAGGUGUCUUAUUUUUCAUUGAUCACUACACCAAAUACAUGUGAUUUCAUUGAUCACCACCAAAUACAUGUGGUAUUACCUCAUUUUUCAUUGAUCACUACACCAAAUACAUGUGGUUUUAUUCUAUGGAAACAAAAUCUGAGGUGUCUUAAUUUUCAUUGAUCACUACACCAAAUACAUGUGAUUUCAUUGAUCACCACCAAAUACAUGUGGUAUUACCUCAUUUUUCGUUUAUCACUACACCAAAUACAUGUGGUUUCAUUGAUCACCACCGGUGUCUUCGGUUAAUGCUCCCGCCAUGGUCAUUGCACCUCCAGGUAACCCUUCAGUCUCUACUUCCUCUAAUUUAUCUUCUCAAUUGGUUUUGUCUUCACACCUACAAACCCUAACCUUCCACCUUCCAUUCACCGUGUCGAUCAUACCCCAUGACCUAGACCCAAUACUCAACCUGCAACUGAACCAAAAAUCACUUCCCACCACCCAUAACCAUCAAUCUCUCGACCCCAUCAGAUGACCACUUGGUCUAUGAACAAAAUUUUUAAACCCAAACAACUGAACAGUGCUACCAAACACCACCCCAUACCUGAUACCACAUUGAACCCACAUGUGUCAGUCAAGCCGUUUCUGAACCUCACUAGAGUGAGGCCAUGUCUCAUGAACUAACCGCUCUCAUGCGACAUGGGACAUGGGAACUGGUACCUCCUCCAAAACACUACAAUCCAGUCGGUUGUAAAUGGGUUUUUAGAGUAAAACGUAAAUCUGAUGGGAAAAUGGAUAGAUUUAAAGCCUGUUUAGUGGCUAAAGGGUAUCAUCAACGUCCAAGAGUGGACUAUACGGAGACAUUCAGUCUCGUAGUUAAGCCUGCUACAAUUAGAAUCAUACUUUCCAUUACUGUGAUGAAUGGUUGGGUCUUACGCCAACUGGACAUUAAUAAUGUUUUCUUACAUGGGGCGCUCAGUGAAACUGUUUAUAUAUUGCAACCCCCAGGUUUUAAAGAUUUAAGCAAGCCUGGUCAUGUCUGUCGACUUCGAAAGGCCAUUUAUGGUCUCAAACAGGCUCCUUAGGCAUGGUAUUCUACCUUGAAAAAUGUCAUACUUCAGUUUGGUUUUAAGAACUCCCAGGCAGAUUCUUCAUUAUUCAUUUUUCAGCAUAAGUCAAUUAUCUGCUAUUUUCUGGUAUAUGUGGAUGACUUAGUGAUUACUGGAAAUAAUUCAGACUUUAUGAAUUCUAUUGUUAAACAACUUGGCUGCAAAUUUUCAUUGAAGGAUAUGGGGUCCUUGCAUUAUUUCUUAGGAAUGGAAGUCAUACCCACUUCAGGUGGUCUUUUCCUUUCCUAGCACAAGUAUAUUCGUGAUUUGCUCUCCAACACAAACAUGCUUGGGGCAAAGGAAGUGUGUAGCCCUCUCUCCACAAGCACACCUCUAAAACUCAAUGAUGGCACUGCUUUUGACAGCACCGAAUAUAGAGAAUAAUUGGCAGCCUCUAGUACUUAUCUCUCACCAGACCAGAUAUCUCAUUUGUUGUAAACAACUUGUCUCAAUUCAUGCACAAGCCUACUCAGACUCAUUGGGCAGCAACCAAGCGACUCCUGCGCUACUUGAAGCAAACCAUCUUUCAUGGUAUUCAACUGAUCAAUCAUACCCAUCCAUCCCUCACCACUUUUUCAGACGCAGAUUGGGUAGGCAACCUUAACGAUCGCACAUCCACAUCCGCAUAUAUUAUCUUUCUUGGCUCCAAUCCUGUCCCAUGAAGCUCGAAGAAACAACGUGCUGUAGCUCGAUCUUCAACAGAGGCCAAAUACAAGGCUCUUACAAAUGCAGCUUCAGAAACUAUUUGGAUACACUCUCUCCUUCAUGAACUUGGAUUCAAACUCAACAUCACUCCAUCACUACUAUGCGACAAUCUUGGAGCCACACAUCUUAGUCACAAUCUGGUACAUCACUCCAGGAUGAAACAUAUCCAAAUUGAUCUUCACUUUGUUCGCGAUCUGGUUCACCGCAGGGCUAUUCACGUCCGACAUGUCCACACUCAAGAUCAACUUGCCGAUUUGUUGACAAAGCCUCUCUCCAAGCAACGCACAGAGCAUUUGAGAAGCAAAAUUGCUCUUGCUGAUAGCAGCUCAAUUUUGAGGGGGUGUAUUAGGACAGCUAAUGGAAAACCAGAUCCACUAGACUCCUAGCCAAGAAUCAUGUAUAUUAAUGCAGACAGAUAGUGCAGCAACAUUCUAGGAAAACAAUUGCAAAUCAUUCUAUAUUUAACUUACUGUAAUUCCUUUGUAAUUCCUUAAAUUCAGCAUACAUUGUGUAUAAAUUUAAUGCUCAACAACAAUAAUAAAGUGUGGAAAAUUUCUGUUAGAAGAACUCUGUUAUAUCUCUCUGUGUUAUAAUUUGCUUUACAAGGAACCAGCAUCAUUGCUUGCUGCAAUCCCCUGUUGAUCUUCUUCAACACCUGUGACCUGGGUUUUUCUCACAUGAUUGCAAAACUUGAACGCAUUAAUAAGGCCAGGAUUGGAAAUAAAUAAAAAAUUUCUCCUCUCGCAAUGCACCCUAAACAAUCUAUGCUUAGAAGUAGAAUAAAAAAAAAAACAAAGAAAAGAGGCAGCACAAGUACUGAUAGAGCCUAUCUUUUUGUUUGUUUUUCUAUAAAGUGCUCCAAGACCCAAAGCAAACAAUGGAGUCAUGGCAUCCACUGCAACGUCCUAUCCUUGUACAGCUAACUAAAAAUAGCAUCAGGAGGAUGUGAUAGCGCUUGAAAUCCCUCGACUGUGGAUAACAGAGUUAGCAAGAAAAAUCUAUCAGCCCCUCUGAUUAAUACAAACUCUCAGGAACUUGAUCAAGGAUGGCUGCCAAUUCAGUGUAAUCGCACUCUGAGUAAAAAAAAAAUUAGUAUUGUCUUAGAACCUAGCUACCGAAUGAUGGCUGCCAAUUCUCACUGCAACUGGACAUUCCAUACCUGAUCCAAUCUCAAAAGCUCAGCCCAUAAUCCUGCCUUUGCUGCACUGCGCGAACCCACUUGAGAUUUGAAACCCUGUUGCCCAUACUAAAACACUUGAAACGUGCAUCUCCUUACUAGUAUCAUCGGCAUUAAGCUUAACCCGGCCCUUGUCAGGAGGCUGCCGAACUAACAAGACCUUACUGCCUUGAUGCAUAUCCAUCUGCAUUCCAUCACGCCUGCAAUGUUUCCCUACAAGUACCCGCGCCUAUAAGACUGCUACUGUUAUAAUUUAAUUUUUGAUUUUUUUAAAAAAAUAAAAAAUAAUAAUAAAAUGAAUGAAGAAUAAAUUGAAAUUUGAGUCAAGAAAACAUAACUUUUAAGUUUAAUUAUUUAAUUAAACUUUAAAUUAGUUUAAUUAAUCAAAUCAAGAGCUAAUUAUAGAAUUGAUAAGUUUGAAUACUUAGUAAAAUCAGAGAUUUAAUUAGAAAAAUAUCAAAGUUUGAGACUGAUUUGGGUUCAAAUCACAAGAAAUUCAAGUUCAAGGACCAUUUGUAAAUGGCAAUACAAUGCAAGGGUCUAAUUACAAUUUACUCAGGGGCUUGAUUACAGAAUUUCAGAACUUUAGUGACCCGAUUGAAAUGGAUAUUCCCAUCCCAAAACGGUACUGUUUCAUAGAAACUGUUUAUCUCCUUCAUCCCGAUUGAGCGGAAACGACAGAGAACGUUGUGACAUCUUUCCCCAACGAUGCGCCAUUAAUAGUCCAAUAAUGGAUGCUAUCCAUUAUAUGUAUUGGCCAAAAGUAUGAAGGUGGAGAUUAAUGUAUUUCUUGGGUUGAGUUGGGAGGCGUGGAAUAGAGAAACAAGAGGUCAAAGUAUGCUCAGAACAAUGAAGAAAUGAACACAACAGGAGGAUGAAAGAAAAGGAAAAAAUGAACGAACGGAGGAGAACGAGCAGUGGGGGACGCGAACAGAAAAAGGGAACGAAAGAACAGAAAUUGAGAGAAAACCGAGAGAACCAGGGGACUGAGAGAAAACCUAGAGAACCGGGGAAGGAAGACCAGAGGAAACCCGAGAACAACACAAAAGGACGCGAAAAAAAGAGAAACCAGGAGGACGAAGAUACAUAGAGAGAGAGCCAGACGCAGAGAGAGACAGAGAGACAGAGAGAAAACAGGGAAACAAGAAUAAAAAAGAGAGACCAGAGAGAGAGAAUAUCAGAGGAGAAACGAAGGAAAAACAGAAACGAAGAGAGGAAAGCCUUCGUCUUCGCACCAACUCAAGCCAUCGUCUUCAAACGGCAACAUAAUUACCUUGUUACUGUUGCAAGCGAGAAUAAUUGACGCAUGCGAGCAACAGUAACCAGCUGGGUCACUGGUUUAGACCAGUGACGAAGCUGAGUUGGUUGGGUCCAUCUCGGGCUUAGAUAACAUAGCCUCUAAAAAUUAAAAAACAAAAAAAAACUAGGGCUAAGCCAACUCAAUUUAUUUUAUUUUAUUUUAUUUUUUAAAUAUUAAAAAAUUCUAAAAAAAUUAGUGAAUUUUAGAUAGAACAUUUAAAAGUGAUAAUAUCUUUUUUUUUUAUGUAAUACUAACUAUAAUACUAGGCAACAACUUUUUAAAUAAAAAAUUUAUUUUAAAAAUAAAAUGCCAAAAAUUCUAUUUUGUUUUCAUGAAUUGAUCUUUUAAUGAUCACCGUGAAUUCGGAUAUCAACUCCCAGCCCUACUCCCAAAUGAAAUUACGACAUAGUUGGAACUUCGAAGGACCGCAAUAUAGCAUAUCAAACAUGAUAGCUUAGUUUGGAAUUGUAUCAGAAUAGUUCAGCCUUAAGACAGAUGGCUUAUUAUGAAUUUAACGUUUUAGUGUUGAUAUGGUAUUGGACGUGGGACAAAAAAUACAAAUAUAACCUAUAAAACAUUCUCCCUCGAGAUAGAUACAUUGACAUAAAGCUCAGAUUGCACAAGCUUUGCAUUCAUGCUACAUUGUAGUUGCAAAUGUAAAAGCUGAGCCAAUGGCAACUGACCAUCCCAAGGCAACAUCUGUGCUUCUGCCAUCAAUAUCCUGUGUAUAAACAGCAAUCAACAUGUGUUAAGAGUAAUUGAGAUGAUAAAUGUCCUCAUGCGCAUGCUCAGGUUUAGUGACUAAUGAGUGAGCAUGCCUUGAGAGAGUCCAGAGAAAGAUAGAGAGAGAACCUGGUGGACUGCAAUGCUGGAAUUAAUUCCGGCUCCAUUGAUCUUCUGGCCAUGAACAUAGUCUCUCCUUACAGAAUGGGCCUCUGCAUCAGGACACACAGCAAUCACACUGAUGUGCUUUGGGAAAUCAAGCCCCUUUGACUGCAAAUGCUCGAUAAGAAAUCCAUGGGACAGCCCAAGGAUGCUGUUUGGCUUCAUGUGAGAGAAAACUCUCUCAUAAACACCAGCCUGAUGCAUCAUGAUAUUAAAGUUGCACGGUUUAGACUGUGACCAAAACAGGCAUUCAUCAACACCAAACACAUGGAAUUUAUUAGAUGACCUAUUAAGAACUGGAUCAUACAGAAUGCACCACAAAACUUUUACCUCUGCUUAAUGGAUUAUGGGGAAAAAAUGAAUUGAAAACAGAUGAACUGGAGAUGUGCUAGAAAAUCAGAAACAUUUUCCUCUCCUAUUCUAAUUUGAUAGAACCAAAAUCAACCUCGCGGCUUCACAGAAGAAAACUAAGCAAGCACAAACACAUCUGCAGACAGACGUAUCAUAAAUGUGUAGUCACUAAGAAAUAACAUACACUUAGCACUUCGCAGAAAUGUCUUUUUUAAAAGUUGAGACCAUAUAGAAGAACCUUGAGGAAGCAAAUCGGUAUUGAAACAGUACACACAGAAAAGUAACCCCUGAAGAACGUCACAGGAAACAAAUUGAAGACAAGUAGCAGAACAACACCAUUUGUAUUCCAUGCCAGAACUUUGUAUUUUCUUUUGUUUUUCACCCCACACAACGUUCGCGAACUCGAGUUAAGAAUCCUAAAGAAUCUUUUUUUUGGCCUAAAUCUCAGCAGACACAAACUGAAAGAAAAAUACAGAAACAACACAUAGAGAAACAAACUCAGAAUUCACACUGAAGGAUUAAUUAACAAACAAACCUGUGCAGCAUUGGAAAUCAAAAGAAGCACAAGAUCACUGCCUGAAAUAGUUUCCCAGAUAACUCCUAAAGUGUCGCUCUCUUCAGUAAAACCAGCAGCACGAGCAUCAGCAAAAGAGCAAGAAUCCUUCUCGAGACCGACCUAUAUCAUACAGAGUAACCAUGUAACUUCCUAAACAGGUAAAAGUUCUGUAUAUAAGAGUGAGGUGUAAAUAAUUAUUUGCCUUGACUUUUAUAUCACACUUGGCUUCAGCGAGUGCAUCCCUUAAAUUCCAAGCUUGAACAGAACCCUGGUAAUGAAUGGGGGCUUGUCAGCAAUCCACACAGAGUCAUGAUAAAAAUAGCAUUAAAGGAAAGAUUUGUGAUAAAAUGAAGCUAUCGAUACACAGAUUGAGCUAUCGAUGUAAAUGCACACAUUCAUAGACUCUGUUUCCAGUUUCCACAGACACACUCCAAAAGAUUUUGUAGAAUGGAAAAGACGGCUUUUGAUACUAACAAGUUUUAGUCCUCAAGCAGAACCAAGACAUACUAAUAAGGUACUACAAAUUUAAAGGCAAUUGUACAUAUUCUAAGCACAAAAUUGAUAGUAUUCACCUGGGAAACCCAACCAACGACACCAAUCUGUUUAAUGCCCUGGAAUGCAUCUGGGAGCAAGAGAAACACAUCCUUGCCUCCUCUCACAAUGUACUGCAAUGCAAUAGGAACAAAGCAUCAUCAAUAACCAAUAGUUACAGACAGAAAGGAGUAAAACUUGGAGGGGGAAACAAUCUAUUAGACAGAAACCUAAUAGUUAUCUUCCAUUAUGAAACACUAAAUUAAAGUUUCUAAUAUUUGAUUAUAAAAUUUACAAAAUGGAGCUCUAAAUUUAGUGAAGGAAAUGGAAAAAAUAAAAUUUUAAAAAUCAUACCUUGUCAUGGCCAGCGAGCAUGAUCUUCUCCUUCUUAAAAACGAAGGUCUGAAAAUCAAGAGAGGUCCGAAGCUUUACCCUUGGAUGCAUGACCCUUUCAGCAGCACCAAGUGAGCCCCUUCCGCCAUGGACACUACCGUCACCUCCACGAAUUUUAGUAAUAGUAGCUAUGAUCGCUUGCACAACCACAGGAUUGAAGAAGACCCAUUUAAGGAAUUUUGAAAAUUUUGCACCGAAAAGAAAAGCAGAGACGUUGCAAUGCAAUUCAAAUUGUGUAUCUUUUACAUAACCAGAUAGGGAGAUCUUCUCCCUGCUUGCAAAGCGGGUGGAAAAAACAAGACUUGCAGCACGCGGUGGUGGCGAGUCCGCAUCAGCUGAGCCGUCACCGUCCACGUCCUUUUCUCCGCCGCCUCCUCCUCCACUACCAUUACUAGUUUUAAGCAGCUCACUUAUUUUCAAGACAGCAGCUGCCAUGGCCAUGACACGUGAUAGAAACUCUUGCGGAUAAUGGACGGAUUUUGAUGGUUUUGGAGGAAUGGUGAGUGGAGGGAGAGGGACAGAGGCAUCAAAAUGAGUUUCAAAUUGUAACUCCUCUUCCUGAACACCAUCAAGAGAGACUUUCUUCUUCUUGCUGUAGAAGGUCCCGAAAUGAAGAGAAGCUGACAACGGUUUCAACGGCAUUCUACACCCUACUGUUGAGCCUGACAGCUUGGGUUUGCCUCUUUCGAGAGAUAGACCAUUACGUGAAAAGGUGUUACGUAGAGAUUUUGGCGGUGGUGGUUUUGGACUGUGUAGAGCAUAAAAGCAGUAAGUAGCAGCCAUUUUGGUUUCGGAGGUGGCGGAGACGAUGCCGGAGUUUUACGGGAAAUGGACAGUGGGAGUGUGUUUUUGGGGUUGCCUGUGGCUACAAAAGGAAGGGCGACACCAACUCAUUGGUUUACAUGUAAUAUGUCCGAAACAAAAGGAUAUCUUACGAAGGCGAACGCACGAAUCCCGACCUGGAUACCCUCAAUAACUAGUUCCGAAAAUCUAUGGACCCGACAAGUGUCACCAGACAUGAAAUUUAUCGGCUUUGACGUGGCGUAACGAGGUGGAGGACAAUGUAGUCAUUUUAAUAUUUUGUGUGAUUAAUUAGUGGAUCCUUAGGCUAGGGCUUCCCCUUCGGGGUUUUCAUUUGUGGAGGGCAAGUUAGUCAUUCAAAUAAGUUAUACCCGAAGGGCUUUCCCUUCGGGGUAUAAUUUAUUUUAUCACAAGAAAAUAAAAAUAAAUUUUACAACACUUGAACUGUAAUAAUAUUUGUAACAUUGACGAAAGAGAAACAAAGAUGGAGUAGCAUUGAAUUUUUCUCAAUAAAAUACCACUGCAAAUCUCUAAUCUCUUUAUACGUUAAGAGAGUCAAGAAAAUUUGGGCGAUGAUUGGCUAAUAAACUAUGUUAAUUUGUUAUUAGGUAAUUCUUGGGUUGAUUAUUUAAUUAGAGGUUGACUUUUAUUAGCAUUUGUUAUUUGCUAAAGGGCCUAUUGAGGUGGGUUGCUGAUUUGAAGGAGCUGAAGAAGAGGCUGGUAGAGGGCAGUGAGGAUCUCCUCGGACCCUGUGAUGUUGAUGAAGUGAAGAGUUGACUUACGGGAGGAUGGAUGUUUGGAUAUAGCGAUAGCAAGCCUGGAUGAAGAAUGUUUUUAUGAUGGUUUGGAUGGUUUGCAGUGAAGAUCUCCUCGGACCAUCUGCAGGCUCUGUCCAUCAGGCUAUCGGGAUCCUUCCUUGUCAUCUUUAUUCAGGAGAAAGCCAUGAUGAGGGUAUGAUUUCUUUGUGAUGGUUGUGCCUUUUAUAUAUAAUGUUUCUCUUCUCCUUAUUUUCAAGCUAUGAUGAC
Molecule: long non-coding RNA, 26622 nt
Filed under: Populus trichocarpa (black cottonwood)
Lineage: Eukaryota; Viridiplantae; Streptophyta; Magnoliopsida; Malpighiales; Salicaceae
Description: long non-coding RNA (PTRI_LNC004227)
Source: RNAcentral